GGCCUGUUAGAUCAGUUGGUUAGAGCGCCAUGCUGAUUACGCGGAGGUCAUGAGUUCGAUCCUCUUACAGGCCA
RNAcentral lists this transfer RNA (74 nucleotides) under Daphnia pulex (common water flea). It matches the Rfam family "tRNA". From Rfam's summary of the family: Transfer RNA (tRNA) molecules are approximately 80 nucleotides in length. Lineage: Eukaryota; Metazoa; Arthropoda; Branchiopoda; Diplostraca; Daphniidae. The record is from Rfam by way of RNAcentral.